AGAGUUUGAUCCUGGCUCAGGAUGAACGCUGGCGGCGUGCUUAACACAUGCAAGUCGAACGAUCCUUCGGGAUAGUGGCGGACGGGUGAGUAACGCGUGGGAAUCUGCCCUCAGGAGGGGGAUAACGGCUGGAAACGGCCGCUAAUACCCCAUAUGCCGAGAGGUGAAACGAAUUUCGCCUGAGGAUGAGCCCGCGUCUGAUUAGCUAGUUGGUGGGGUAAAGGCCUACCAAGGCGACGAUCAGUAGCUGGUCUGAGAGGAUGAUCAGCCACACUGGGACUGAGACACGGCCCAGACUCCUACGGGAGGCAGCAGUGGGGAAUUUUCCGCAAUGGGCGAAAGCCUGACGGAGCAACGCCGCGUGAGGGAUGAAGGCCUCUGGGCUGUAAACCUCUUUUCUCAAGGAAGAAGAACUGACGGUACUUGAGGAAUAAGCCACGGCUAAUUCCGUGCCAGCAGCCGCGGUAAUACGGGAGUGGCAAGCGUUAUCCGGAAUUAUUGGGCGUAAAGCGUCCGCAGGCGGCCUUGUAAGUCUGUUGUUAAAGCGUGGAGCUCAACUCCAUUUAAGCAAUGGAAACUACAAGGCUGGAGUGUGGUAGGGGCAGAGGGAAUUCCCGGUGUAGCGGUGAAAUGCGUAGAUAUCGGGAAGAACACCAGUGGCGAAGGCGCUCUGCUGGGCCAUAACUGACGCUCAUGGACGAAAGCCAGGGGAGCGAAAGGGAUUAGAUACCCCUGUAGUCCUGGCCGUAAACGAUGAACACUAGGUGUCGGGGGAAUCGACCCCCUCGGUGUCGUAGCCAACGCGUUAAGUGUUCCGCCUGGGGAGUACGCACGCAAGUGUGAAACUCAAAGGAAUUGACGGGGGCCCGCACAAGCGGUGGAGUAUGUGGUUUAAUUCGAUGCAACGCGAAGAACCUUACCAGGGUUUGACAUCCUGCGAAUCCCUUGGAAACGAGGGAGUGCCUUCGGGAGCGCAGUGACAGGUGGUGCAUGGCUGUCGUCAGCUCGUGUCGUGAGAUGUUGGGUUAAGUCCCGCAACGAGCGCAACCCACGUCUUUAGUUGCCAGCAUUCAGUUGGGCACUCUAGAGAGACCGCCGGUGAUAAACCGGAGGAAGGUGUGGAUGACGUCAAGUCAUCAUGCCCCUUACAUCCUGGGCUACACACGUACUACAAUGCUACGGACAAAGGGCAGCAAGCUCGCGAGAGUUAGCAAAUCCCAUAAACCGUGGCUCAGUUCAGAUCGUAGGCUGCAACUCGCCUACGUGAAGGAGGAAUCGCUAGUAAUCGCAGGUCAGCAUACUGCGGUGAAUACGUUCCCGGGCCUUGUACACACCGCCCGUCACACCAUGGAAGUUGGCCAUGCCCGAAGUCGUUAC
RNAcentral lists this ribosomal RNA (1377 nucleotides) under metagenome. RNAcentral describes it as "bacterial SSU rRNA". It matches the Rfam family "Bacterial small subunit ribosomal RNA". The record is from RNAcentral.